AACGCACAUUGCGCCCUUUGGUAUUCCGAAGGGCAUGCCUGUUCGAGCGUCAUUAUCAACCCUCAAGCCUGGCUUGCUGUUGGACCUCUCGUCGUUGAAGACGGGUCCUAAAGUUAAUGGCGGAGUCGUCUGGACCCUAGAUGCAACGAGCUCUCGUAGCACGCAUUUAAGGGGCUGGCGGCUCCAGUCUCAACCCAUAUCAUUUACAAGGUUGACCUCGGAUCAGGUAGGAAUACCCGCUGAACUUAA
RNAcentral lists this unclassified non-coding RNA (249 nucleotides) under uncultured fungus. RNAcentral describes it as "partial contains 5.8S ribosomal RNA, internal transcribed spacer 2, and large subunit ribosomal RNA". The stretch from base 1 to 52 matches the Rfam family "5.8S ribosomal RNA", at positions 103 to 154 of the family's 154-position model. Lineage: Eukaryota; Fungi. The record is from RNAcentral.